Long non-coding RNA from Zalophus californianus (California sea lion), 1185 nucleotides. RefSeq lists it as uncharacterized. Lineage: Eukaryota; Metazoa; Chordata; Mammalia; Carnivora; Otariidae. The transcript is spliced from 3 exons. The record is from RefSeq and is a predicted model, not a curated record.
UCGGCUCCUUCCUGUCUCUGAGGGACCAGCCGUGCAGAGCUGGUUUUUCUGGACAUUCGUCCAUGAAGGAUUGUUAUCUGCAGAGUGCUUAAAAGCACUCAUCUCAUGCUAAACAACCCUCAUAUCGUCCCCAAUGCUGUCUUCUUUCUUUACCCAACCAGAAAUGUCUACCGUGGAUGGCUUCAUGCGAGGAGAAGGUUGGCCUAACUUGGAGAAGCCAGGGGCACCCUUCUUGGAUAUGGCCAGUGUCUGCCCCAGCCCUUGAAGCGAGCGGGGGGCAGGGGAGGGGUGCGGUUUGAGACUGGAUUUGUUCCUUUCUGUCCUUGCUAAUUUUAAUUUGUUAAUUUUGUAUUUCAGCCGGAUACCCGGCUUCCCCUCAAGACUGGGCAUGUCAUAAAUGAUCGAGUGAAAUAAAUAAUGGAUAAAUGCUUCUCUCUUAGAUUCCAGUUUAAAUCCAAGGAGCCCUGGCAUGUUGCAAUGGAAGUAAAAUAAUUGAAGAGCAGCAAACUUGAAUUUGUGGCUGGAUACGUUUGAAGCUAUGUCAUUACCAUGAUGAUGCCAGGGACCAUAUGAAAUUGUGGUCCAGGGAAAUGACAGCUACCAUGUGUCGUCACUAACAGCUUUCACCAGCAUUACCCUAAUGAACGCUCCGAACCAUUGAAGAGCUCCACUGAGCAGAUAAGAAAAAGCAUGCUCAGGUACCAAGAUUCAAAUCCAGGCCCAGCUGGCCCCAGAGACCCGAGCUCUUAACACGCAUGCUCGUCUGCAAAGGAAGAUGACUUUACAAGGAAUCUGUUUCUAAAGACAGUUCUUAAGGCCAAGAAAUAAAAAUGUGCGUGUCGCAAUCCUGAGUAUUCUCAGUUCUGUGUUAAAUCUAAGAACUGAAACCGACCUGCUUUCCUGGCCCUGAGCUGAAUCAUACAGGAGCCAGUCAAAACAACUUGGCUUCUUGUCCCAGGAAAGACUUGUUCCUGGAAUACAAAACUUUGAACUGCCAACAAUAGCCUAUCUCUCCAGACUAACAGCUUGCUCAUCAAAACUCACUUCAAAGACCCCGACCUCACUGUGCCUGGCCAUUCUGAACUACGAUGUCAUAGACUGCCAAUCCCAACCAGUCUUCCUCUUCUUUUUUUAAACUAUUUUAUUUAUUUAUUUGAGAGAGAGACAGAACGAGAGCGAGCAUGA